RNAcentral lists this long non-coding RNA (524 nucleotides) under Setaria italica (foxtail millet). RNAcentral's name for it is "long non-coding RNA (SITA_LNC001713)". The record is from RNAcentral. Lineage: Eukaryota; Viridiplantae; Streptophyta; Magnoliopsida; Poales; Poaceae.
UUUGUAUUUUUACGGAAUGUAUGGAAUUGGAAAUCAUUCACGAAAGCGUUGUGGGCUUUCAUGUCCUGUUCUUGUUUCUUCUUCCAUGCUUCUGAUGGAUCUGAAGUUAACUCGCCUGUGUGUUCUCCGGUUCUCCCUGCUGGCAACAAAACUCUGUAACUAGCCCAGUGAUUGGGCUUGUGCAGAAAACCAAUUGUAACUAGCACAGGCAAAUGAGCACCGGAAUGGCCAGCAGAAACAAACAAACAAUGAUUUGUCACAGCUCACUGAUAAAGCUCCAACGUUUCGUUGAUUCGGUGGUUCAGGUCAGGAUCCUGUUAGCUUACCUGUACUGGAGAUGAGUGUUGUUCUCGGCUACUUCAAAAGCCUCGAAGAUCUCCCAGGCAACAGCUCCUGGGAUACGCUCUGAAGCAUCUUUCGGGUAUAACAAGGUUUGGUGGGAGCUUUCCAAGCUGUGUUCCUGCAGGGCAUGCUCAACCUGACGUGGAUUGGAGGCGAGGGCUGGGGAAGACGGCACUUUGUUC